RNAcentral lists this ribosomal RNA (500 nucleotides) under uncultured bacterium. RNAcentral's name for it is "partial 16S ribosomal RNA". It matches the Rfam family "Bacterial small subunit ribosomal RNA", at positions 30 to 523 of the family's 1533-position model. The record is from RNAcentral.
AUUGAACGCUGGCGGAAUGCUUUACACAUGCAAGUCGAACGGCAGCACGGACUUCGGUCUGGUGGCGAGUGGCGAACGGGUGAGUAAUGUAUCGGAACGUGCCCAGUCGUGGGGGAUAACGUAGUGAAAAUUACGCUAAUACCGCAUACGAUCUAAGGAUGAAAGCGGGGGAUCGCAAGACCUCGCGCGAUUGGAGCGGCCGAUAUCAGAUUAGGUAGUUGGUGGGGUAAAGGCCCACCAAGCCAACGAUCUGUAGCUGGUCUGAGAGGACGACCAGCCAAACUGGAACUGAGACGCGGUCCAGACUCCUACGGGAGGCAGCAGUGGGGAAUUUUGGACAAUGGGCGAAAGCCUGAUCCAGCCAUUCCGCGUGCAGGAUGAAGGCCCUCGGGUUGUAAACUGCUUUUGUACAGAACGAAAAGGUUUCUACUAAUACUAGGAGCUCAUGACGGUACUGUAAGAAUAAGCACCGGCUAACUACGUGCCAGCCGCCGCCGUAA